GUUGAGAGACCUCACCCGCUCCCAUUCCGACCAAGACUGAUUUAUUAAUCAAGUCUUUUGAGUUCCAUAGCAAGGAUGAAUCCAUGUUGUUUCUCCGGAGAUUCGGAGUUGUAAGUGCACUUCGAUCUGUCUGUCUAUCUGUGGUGAUGUGCUUAUCUAGCAUACGCUGAUGAACACCUUGUAUCCUCUGUAAUUUGUGAGGAGAAGGAUGAUGGUCGCCUUGCUUAAUAAUUCACCAAGUUUUGUAUCCCUGAUGCGAUUCUGUUCUUAGUUUCUUACCUUGCAGCAAUCUGAGUGCUUGGCUCGACAUGUUUCUGGCCCUUCUGUUUGUGACACUGUAUUGUAAAUUUGUAAUCAAGGAAAAGAAAUAGUGUGCUACACAAAAUAGCGGAACCCCUGAAAAAAAUACUGUAUAUGCUAGGAGCGUGCUAUUAGCGAGAUAUUUUCUUCAGCAAUCGUAAUUCAGGACCUGCUGGUGCUUUGUGGUUGAAAAUCUGUAGUUUUGUUUGACUGUAUAAUUUGUUUCUCCUGGGCAUUGUGUUUGUCAGAUUGACUCCAACACUUGUUACAUUCUUGCUGAAAAAAUGCUGGCUACUAUAGCAGGAUCAUGAAAGUAGCUUGUUCUUCAUGAAAAAUACCCACAAUAUCGACUGUAAUCAAAUUCUGAACAGUGAAUUGGCAACUUCAGCUGUGUCUUCUCCCACAACAACACCGAUAAGAACCGCAAUGACAACUGAUGGGGAUGUCCUGCAUACUUGGAAUCACAGCAACAACAUCAUAACAGUAUGACUUGGAAUCACCAAAUCCCAACAAUCAUAUUUAGCAUAACAACAACAGAUUAUCACAACCACAACAGGUCACUGACGUCAUGGCCUACAGCCCUACACGUUCACCACCAACAGUGUACAUUGUAUCUCAGUGACAUCAUAGCCAACAAGCUCACAUGGCUCCUUGGAUUCCAUUCUUUGGGUGCCUGCAAGAUAAUAUAUAUGAGACAAGCCUGGAAAUCUCAACUCCAGCAUAUCACCCAUGACUAGAGUGAAAAAUGCAAUAAUUAUGAACAACGGAUGCAAGGCAGGAGGAAGCAGCUCGGGCGGACUCUGGGCGCCGCCGCGGCCGGCUCCCUCCCGCCUCCUCCCUUCCCUCUCCUCAUGGACUCUACCAGAAUUCCAUCACUUGCAUUAUCGUAUCCCGAGCUCCGACCACCCAAAGCAGCCAUGGCCAAGUACCCGCAACAGCAAGAAGGCUCAAGGUACCCAACAGAAAUAAGUCAAUCAACACAUAGACAAAAGAAUACCUCGUGUUCAGGCAAGCGACGGGUAUGCAGUCACUAUUGUUUCUGACCACCCGCGAGCAAUUGACAUAGCUAGCCCAUGUUACAAAAAUAGGAUCAAAAACGACGAAGCCGUCCGACUGCUGGAGGCCAUGUAGAUAGGGUCGCUCAUCCCAGCGAGGAAGAGGGCAGCUACUGCUCUUGUCCAAGUUGUCAUCCACGACCCAGAAGAAAGAAAGCUUGUAGUCCAUCUCAGUGACAAAACACGUAUAGUUAGGCAGCUUGAAUCCAUCACCAUCAUACAGGAAAAUAAAGUACUAGAGCCUGAUGCUGCAUGAGCUGGCCUAAUAUUGAUGUAAUGUACUACUGUGCAAAAAUAAAUAGAUUUGCAUGGUGAAGAAUAUAACUAUAUAAGAUGGAGAACGAAGUAGCUCAAAGAACCACCUGAUGGGGAGAAAUAUAAGAAGUGAAAACAAAAAAAAAA
Molecule: long non-coding RNA, 1757 nt
Filed under: Hordeum vulgare
Lineage: Eukaryota; Viridiplantae; Streptophyta; Magnoliopsida; Poales; Poaceae
Description: long non-coding RNA (HVUL_LNC017765)
Source: RNAcentral